UUUAAGGUUCGAUAAGGAAGAGAUGCUGUGGUAGUAAAAUGGAAGCCACUCUUGAAUCUUUAUUUUGUUUACACUUUCCAUAUGAAUAUUAUAAUUACCCUUUUAUAUAUCACAGGAACAUAGCAUCCUUCAGGUGGAAAAUAAUUGUCUGUCAACUGGGACACAACGUGCAAGCAGACUCAAAGAUUUGUCUUUUGGCCGAAAGUUCGGGAAUGAAGCGGACUUUAAAAACGUUUGGGGCUCUGCCAAGCACGAUCUUGGCUCUCCAAUUAUUUUGAUGCCGCUUAGAAAUUAUAGGAUAUUGGAUGAUUGGUUCUCUCAUGAGUUUUCUGCCCAUUAUUCAACUUUAAUAUUAACAACCAACUGAUAUCGAUGAAAAACCGCAAAUCUUUGAAAGAACAAAUACUACCUUAUGAAUUAUUACAAAACCAAUAUGAGAAACACGGACUUAAAAUAGACUCACCCACACAUCUGUAGAAACAAUGGCUUGGAAUAGCGUCGAGGGACUUUUGAAAAAUCGUACAUAUUUUUGUUCAAGUAUUUCCAGUAAACAGCCACAAAAACAACACUUUUCGUUUAGCCUUAUCAAUUCAACACUUCUGGAUACACCAUCGGAAUGUGGCCGCCACUUGCAGCCGGCAAUUGCCAACAAUUGCCAGUUGCGAGACAUCAUAUGGAAAACUUCCAUGCCCCGAAGGGAUGAUGACAAAUAAGGAUGAGUUUACUAGCAUAUUACUCUCUUUCUCGCUUUCCUUCCGCUGAUUUAAGAUCCAUCUAGUGGAAUCACUUGCAACGCCAAGAGGGCAAGAAAAUAAAUAAGAGGUUGCAUCUUGCUUCGCAGUGCAAUGAGUACAUACCCUUAAUUGGUCUCUCAAAGGGAAACGGCGCUGCGGAUGACUAUAGAAGAUUUAUGCAGCUGAAAUGCGAAUGGAUCGGACUAUAUUGGUGUUUAUAAUUGCAGUCCCGAAACCGGAUUUCAUUAUUUUGGACAAUAUUAAAGUUAAGUCAUCAUUAGAAAAUGCAAUCAACACUCCCCAGAAGAUAUUAGAACCUUAUCUCUGUAUGUAGGGGAUCUAUCUUUUAUAGUAGUUGAUACCAAAUAUUCUUAUUCAGCCUCCUCGCAC
RNAcentral lists this small RNA (1124 nucleotides) under Drosophila pseudoobscura pseudoobscura. RNAcentral describes it as "GA31513". The record is from RNAcentral. Lineage: Eukaryota; Metazoa; Arthropoda; Insecta; Diptera; Drosophilidae.